This 29-nucleotide transfer RNA is filed under the name Poecilia wingei. Its description in RNAcentral is "partial tRNA-Thr". The record is from RNAcentral. Lineage: Eukaryota; Metazoa; Chordata; Actinopteri; Cyprinodontiformes; Poeciliidae.
GCAUUAGUAGCUCAGUCCCCAGAGCGUCG